GCCUGGGUGGCUCAGUGGUUGAGCAUCUGCCUUUGGCUCAGGGUGUGAUCCCGAGAUCUGGGAUCGAGUCCCACAUCAGGCU
Non-coding RNA from Canis lupus familiaris (dog), 82 nucleotides. NCBI's taxonomy places the organism in Eukaryota, Metazoa, Chordata, Mammalia, Carnivora, Canidae. The record is from Rfam.